GGGGCCGCCAUGGUUUUGACAGCGAGUUGAAGCAAUACGUAUAAGCACGUCGGGACGUGUGCGCGAGUCCUGUUAAAAACACGCAUAAACAAUAGCUGGCGAAUAUAGCUACGCUAUGGCUGCCUAAUCCGGAGUGAUUAGCCUUUAGCCAUCGUUCCUCCAACCUCCGCCUUGCAGGUUGGAUCAAGGAGCGUCGAAACGUAAGGCUGGUCGGGCGGAUGGUGUUAAUGCUCGGUGAGACACAACACCUAAGGUGCGGGAUGAGGUCUGAUUUGAACCUUGCCUGCGCUCGAAAAUCCAAUCAAAUCUAAGCGUGUAGAAGGCGUACGGUUUCCUUGUUCUGGACGUGGGUUCGACUCCCACCGGCUCCACAA
Molecule: non-coding RNA, 374 nt
Organism: Runella slithyformis DSM 19594
Lineage: Bacteria; Pseudomonadati; Bacteroidota; Cytophagia; Cytophagales; Spirosomataceae
Rfam family: transfer-messenger RNA
About the family: Bacterial tmRNA, also known as 10Sa RNA or SsrA, is named for its dual tRNA and mRNA-like properties. Its role is to liberate the mRNA from a stalled ribosome.
Source: Rfam